CUUCCCCCCAGUAAUCUUCAUC
RNAcentral lists this microRNA (22 nucleotides) under Homo sapiens (human). RNAcentral's name for it is "hsa-miR-3679-3p". Lineage: Eukaryota; Metazoa; Chordata; Mammalia; Primates; Hominidae. The record is from miRBase by way of RNAcentral.